UUUCCGUAGGUGAACCUGCGGAAGGAUCAUUAUUGUAUAACCGAGGUGCGAGGGCUGUCGAUGACCCGAAAGGUCGUGCACGCCCGAGUGCCCUCACACACAUCCAUCUCACCCCUAUGUGCACCACCGCGUGGGUCCCCCUUUGGCUUGUUCGGAGGGGGGCUUACGUGUUCACACAAACUUUGUAUGCAGUGUAGAAUGUAUUUUUUGUUUUUGCGAUCACGCAAUCAAUACAACUUUCAACAACGGAUCUCUUGGCUCUC
RNAcentral lists this unclassified non-coding RNA (263 nucleotides) under plant metagenome. Its description in RNAcentral is "partial contains small subunit ribosomal RNA, internal transcribed spacer 1, and 5.8S ribosomal RNA". The record is from RNAcentral.